Molecule: ribosomal RNA, 658 nt
Filed under: Brachybacterium paraconglomeratum
Lineage: Bacteria; Bacillati; Actinomycetota; Actinomycetes; Micrococcales; Dermabacteraceae
Description: bacterial SSU rRNA
Rfam family: Bacterial small subunit ribosomal RNA
Source: RNAcentral
CGCCUGAUUAGUGGCGAACGGGUGAGUAACACGUGAGUAACCUGCCCUCCACUUCGGGAUAACCUCGGGAAAUCGUGGCUAAUACCGGAUAUGAGCACUCAUCGCAUGGUGGGUGUUGGAAAGAUUUAUCGGUGGGGGAUGGACUCGCGGCCUAUCAGUUUGUUGGUGAGGUGAUGGCUCACCAAGACGAUGACGGGUAGCCGGCCUGAGAGGGCGACCGGCCACACUGGGACUGAGACACGGCCCAGACUCCUACGGGAGGCAGCAGUGGGGAAUAUUGCACAAUGGGCGAAAGCCUGAUGCAGCGACGCCGCGUGGGGGAUGACGGCCUUCGGGUUGUAAACCCCUUUCAGUAGGGAAGAAGCGAGAGUGACGGUACCUGCAGAAGAAGCGCCGGCUAACUACGUGCCAGCAGCCGCGGUAAUACGUAGGGCGCAAGCGUUGUCCGGAAUUAUUGGGCGUAAAGAGCUUGUAGGUGGCUUGUCGCGUCUGCCGUGAAAACCCGAGGCUCAACCUCGGGCGUGCGGUGGGUACGGGCAGGCUAGAGUGUGGUAGGGGAGACUGGAACUCCUGGUGUAGCGGUGAAAUGCGCAGAUAUCAGGAAGAACACCGAUGGCGAAGGCAGGUCUCUGGGCCAUUACUGACACUGAGAAGCGAA